Molecule: long non-coding RNA, 105 nt
Filed under: Chinchilla lanigera (long-tailed chinchilla)
Lineage: Eukaryota; Metazoa; Chordata; Mammalia; Rodentia; Chinchillidae
Description: lncRNA (ENSCLAG00000023421.1)
Source: RNAcentral
UUGGCAGGCAUCACAGCAGCACGGGCGGGUCCUCAGUGAAAGCAGCUCACGCCAAGCGGAAGAUGCUGGUCACAUAGGCAAUGGGGGCCUGCGAGGGAGCCAAAC